UGUAUUUUUUCUGUCAACUUUCAUUUAACACUCCAGUCCAGUUGGUGGCAGUAAUGCGCUUUCAUAGUUAGUCAAGCAACCGCCAUUAAACUCCAGAGGAAGAUUUGCACCGGCGCUAACGAGUGCUAAUGCUAAACCCAACAUGAACGAAAAUGCCCGUGCGUUGUGUGAAAUGGUGGAAAAAGUACUAUUUCAUGGAGUUACGUUUUCAGUAUCGUUUUGAUAUUAAGCAAUAUCCCGGCUGAAAACAACAGAUGACACCGCGGCGGUCCAACAAGGCCGAACUCACGACCUGAAAAAUGGCUAAGCCUUAACAGCCAGGCCUCAGACCACGGUGCCGAGGCGCUCUUAGGGAGUCCACGAAGAGAAAUUCAGUAAGUUAUAAUUUCACAUUUUGUCAAUAGUGAACACUCGCAUAUUUGUAAGGAAAACUGAUCUUCCGGUUAUUUUAUUUAUUUUGUUAUAACGCAGUACAGCAAGGCAGAGUGUGGUAAGCAGUAGAGAUCGAAAACAUGGUGGACAGAGGACGGAUAUCAGGACGGACCCAUGAAGCCGACACUCCACAGAAUGGGAGUCACAUUUGUGUCAAUCAGAAUCUUCAGGAACGUUCUGAUGUCCAUGACGAGGACAGAGGUGCAACUGUGUGUGAGUAUCUACUAUUUUAGAAUGUUGAUGAUAUUUUAUGCUUCAAUAUUGUUUAUGUACAUAAUGUAAUUAUGCUAUGUAUUGACUAUGCACACAAUGUUUUUCAGCUGUAUCAAGGACCUACUGCCAGUCAUCCAGAUGUUGGUCAAGAAAGAAGCAGCUGAUGGAGGAAGGCAGAGAGUACUGGCAGCAGAGGAGGUGGCAUUCUGGGAGGAUGGCAGCUAUGAGGGGAUGUCAGGAUGGUCUGUGGUGAGGUUGAGACCCCAAGUUCCCCCAACCAGGAGCUCAGUGACGUCGGGCCUACGCUACAGGAGAGAUGUUGGGCCUGUCCUGUACGCAGCAUAAUGUUGGAUCAUGUUUGGACAAAAAAACACUGCCAGAUAGUCCAGAAAUGGACAAGCAUUUAUGUCUUAUUUUGUGUGCAAACAGUAAAAAAAAAUAAAAUGAAAUAAAGAAAAAAAAAUUAUGUUCCUCAUUUAUGUUCCUCAUAUAUGAACAUGUUGUAUAUAAGCAAUAUCAAAUGAAUAUAUUUUAAUACAGCAUUUAUUUUUUAUAUAGAUUUUUUUAAAUACAGCGUUACAAAUAAUGAUUGGGGUGGGGUUUAUUUAUAAAGACUUACGUACUGUCCAAUGGGCACACAUCAACCAACCAAUCACAUGUCAAUGAUGAACUGUGAUGUCAUUGUUUUUCAUCCAAUGACUGAGGAUCCACGUGGGUCUGCUGAAGCGCCUUUGCAUAUGCUAGGCUAUUCGUAUGCUAACCGCCCGCCCGCUCCCGCGCACCUACACUCCCCCCUCCUGGGAUUCCGCAAUCGACAGAAUUCGACUCCCGUGAGUGAAAAUGCAAAACUGUCGAUUGCUGUCGAUAUCUGUCGCUCACGAGCUGCAUUCGCGUCAGAAUACAGGGUUAAAAAUCCCACUUUUCGUCCUGUGGAAGCAAUA
Long non-coding RNA from Poecilia latipinna (sailfin molly), 1586 nucleotides. RefSeq lists it as uncharacterized. The transcript is spliced from 5 exons. The record is from RefSeq and is a predicted model, not a curated record. NCBI's taxonomy places the organism in Eukaryota, Metazoa, Chordata, Actinopteri, Cyprinodontiformes, Poeciliidae.